UCAACCCUCAAGCACCGCUUGGUUUUGGGGCCCCACGGCACACGUGGGCCCUUAAAGGUAGUGGCGGACCCUCCCGGAGCCUCCUUUGCGUAGUAACUAACGUCUCGCACUGGGAUUCGGAGGGACUCUUGCCGUAAAACCCCCCCAUUUUUUACAGGU
Molecule: unclassified non-coding RNA, 159 nt
Filed under: Colletotrichum acutatum
Lineage: Eukaryota; Fungi; Ascomycota; Sordariomycetes; Glomerellales; Glomerellaceae
Description: nternal transcribed spacer 2
Source: RNAcentral